AAAGUCCUAGCCUAGCCAGGAGGGCCGUGACCAAAUGUCUCCUGCAUAUUGUUGAAAAAGAACAAAGUUGUAGCCUAGCCAGGAGGGCUGUGACCAAAAGUCCUAGCCUAGUUGGCUCCGCCCAAAGAAUCCUAGCCUAGCCGUGACCAAAUGUCUCCUGCAUAUUGUUGAAAAAGAACAAAGUUGUAGCCUAGCCAGGAGGGCUGUAAUCAAAAGUCCAUGGCUAGGUCCCUGAGGGAUUACCUAUCCUCAUGGCGGCUACAUUACCCUGGGUAUAUUAAGUCCCUGAGGGUCCCUAUCCUCAUGGCUAGGUCUAAUAUGGCCCUGAGGGAUUGCCUAUCCUCAUGGCUAUAUUAACCUGGGUAUAUUAGGUCCCUGAGGGAUUGCCUAUCCUCAUGGUUAGGGAUUGCCUACUCAUGGGGCUGGCCCUGAGUUCCUCAUGGCUACAUUACCUUAACCUGAUGAUUGCCUAGCCUAUUAAUCAUAACUCUCAUAACUCAUUAUGAACAACAAUAGACAAGCCAUGACACUUAUAAACAAAUCAUUUAUAAACAAAUCAUUUCAGUUCGAGUCUACUGUGUUUGUUCUCUUUGUCCUGUACAUGUUGUUGUCCACUCUUGAAAUCCGAUGAAAUGUCCACUCCCCUGCAUUAUGAACAACAAUAGACAAGUCAUGACAAUGUAAAGAUAGAUGUACAAACAGAUAGAGUGUAAAGUCUGCCAGGAGGGCAAAUGUCUCAUGUCUUAGGAACAAAGUCAUAGCCUAGCCAUAAGGGUAGACCAGCCAUGAGGGAUUAAUUGGUGAUGUAACCUAAUGUCUCCAGUCUUAUUGUUGAAAAGAACAAAGUCCUAGCCUAGCCAUGAGGGCAGCUUAAGUGGUGAUGUAACCUGAGUCAAAAUUAAGUGGUGAUGUAAUCUAAGUCAAGAACCAUGAGGGUUCAAAUCUACCUUCUAAACAGCCCUGAGGCCAUGACCUGUAAACCUUAAAACCAUAAGGGAUGCCCUGAGGCCCUCAUGUAUAUGGCAUGAGGGCUUGGAGCCCUCAUGUAUAGGGCCCUCGGGGUACUAUUACACUGUCACCCCAGUAGCUAUGGCCCUAACCCAAACCCUAACCGUUAGUGCACUUAACCACAACUCUAGCUGUUGUUAGUGCACUUAACCACAAGCUGUUGUUACAGCACUUUUAAGCACCUUUGCAACACAUGAACACCAAGCAUGAAACCACAAAGAAACCACAAUGAACUAUUGAUAGUGAACUGUGGUUACAGAAAUCUGCACGUUACAUGUAGUGAUGUUACCUCUGCUCAUGUGACCAGAAAAAGAACUCACAUGGCAUAUACUUGAGCUAGCUAGCUAGAGAAUUAGAAGGCAAUAUUAAAAUGUCUUGGUAUACCUAUCCUCCUGGAGAUUCCACUGGUACAUGUAAUGAAGCAGUUGAUGUUCGGUGGACACAUUUUCAUCCCCAGCUGGCUAUCCAACAAACGCCACAAGCCUUCUCAAUGCAAGCCUUCUCAGCACAGACACAGGAUAUUGAUCACCCUGGUCUGAGCUCUGGUAAGCCAAGCUACAAGUACAUUGUUCGCAUAAUAAAUCCACAGCAAAGAAGUAAACAUGUUACUAAGAUGUGGCAUGGUGUGGCAUGGUGUGAAUGAAAGAUUCAAGAGUGUAGAUCAACUAAAACAGAAACUUUCAUCUGAUUUUGGAGACAAACUACCUUCCGUUUCAGAUAUGGAGUGGUUACCUUGAGAAAAGCUCAAAACGUUGGAUUGAGGAUAAUCGCGAUUUGGAGGCUAUGUACAAAGUAGCAGAAGUUUGUGAUGAAAUAACUAUUUGGUGUGAUGCUCGAGGUGAAUGCUCGAGGUGAAUGUGAUAGUGUACCGGCUAAAGGUGCUAACAAGAAAAGGAAGCUAACUGAGCACGAAGAUGCACCUGUAGUGAAACGACAAGACAAGAUUGACCAGGUAACGUCAGAACUACAGCAGAAGCAUGGGGAAAAGUUUGGAAUGCCUCAACUACGUAUAUGGGCCAGAAUGAUCUUAAACAACCAGCACAACAGUACUGACACACCACCAUCUUUUCCCCUUUUCAAUGAUAAUGUGAAACGGGCUAAUAAGCGUGACGGUUUAACUGAAGCUCUUACUACUGCUGCAACAGCUGUUGUUGGGAUGCUGAAAGGCAAUGACCCUAAUCCUAACACCCAAUCAGUAGUAUCCCCUGGAAAAAAGGCUCGUAUUUCUGGUCAGUACUUAGAGCAUCUCGAAUGACUCAAGUCUCUACAAGAAUCUGGAGUACUAACAAGCGCAGAAUUCAGUGAACAAAAAGAAUAUGCAUUAAAGAACAUUAGAAAGCUGAAUGAUUAAAUUGAAUUGGACUUUUGCUCAUUAUGACACACUCACAUAAUAGUUAUGUAGGUGAUUGUCCCUUUAUUAUUAAGAUGUAUUGCAUCCA
Molecule: long non-coding RNA, 2447 nt
Organism: Halichondria panicea
Lineage: Eukaryota; Metazoa; Porifera; Demospongiae; Suberitida; Halichondriidae
Exons: 2
Source: RefSeq, a predicted model, not a curated record